RNAcentral lists this long non-coding RNA (475 nucleotides) under Monodelphis domestica (gray short-tailed opossum). Its description in RNAcentral is "lncRNA (ENSMODG00000036302.2)". The record is from RNAcentral. Lineage: Eukaryota; Metazoa; Chordata; Mammalia; Didelphimorphia; Didelphidae.
UAUAAAUGUUUUUUCUCCACUCCUCAACCCCCUUCUCCCUUCUGGGAAAGAACUCCUGUGUUAAGAACGGUUUUCCUUCUGCCUGUGCUGGGUGCCUCGUACAGGAUUUUAUAGGCUAGUUUAUUUCUCUUGGCAGAGAAAGAAAAGUGUUGAUCCACCAUGAAGGGAAUGAAGAGGAAGAAUCCCAGAUGAAGAAUUUGGAGCCACUCCACAAGAUGAAUGUCAAUUUGUGAUUCUCGCUGCCUUGUGAAGUCAUUUGUUUCUAGUUGUUGGAUUCUAAUUUUUAAAGACUGGAUUUCAUCCUUCCCUUUUUGGUCAUCCUCCUUCUGGUCUGAUUUUUUUUAUAGGUCAUCUUUUACCUUCUUUGCCUUGUUUUCAAGCUGGUUAAUUUUGACUUUCAGGACACUAUUUUCAUGUUUUAGUUCAUGUGCCUCUGUUUCCAGAUGACUUAUUUUGCUUAUUAAGUUCUUUUCCC